UGGCUUAGUGGUAGAGUGCUUGCCUAGCAUGCAUGAGGCCCUAGGUUCAAUUCCUUG
Molecule: transfer RNA, 57 nt
Filed under: Dipodomys ordii (Ord's kangaroo rat)
Lineage: Eukaryota; Metazoa; Chordata; Mammalia; Rodentia; Heteromyidae
Rfam family: tRNA
About the family: Transfer RNA (tRNA) molecules are approximately 80 nucleotides in length.
Source: Rfam by way of RNAcentral